Molecule: ribosomal RNA, 798 nt
Filed under: Ligophorus fenestrum
Lineage: Eukaryota; Metazoa; Platyhelminthes; Monogenea; Dactylogyridea; Ancyrocephalidae
Description: eukaryotic LSU rRNA
Rfam family: Eukaryotic large subunit ribosomal RNA
Source: RNAcentral
CUCCCAGUAACGGCGAGUGAACGGAGAUUAGCCCGUCACCGAAGUCCGGUGCUGUUGCACUCGUGACAAUGUGGUGUUGAGGCAUGCGCCUGGGGUCUCGUGUCUGCCCGAAGUCCAACUUCGAUUAUGGCUUGGUAUUAGCCCGGAGCGGGUGAAAGGCCCGUGCGGGUAGAAGUUUGACUGAGCGAGAUCUUCAGUUGUGCGUGCCUUCGAGUCGGAUUGCUUGAGAAUGCAGUCCAAAGUGGGUGGUAAACUCCAUCCAAGGCUAAAUACUGGCACGAGUCCGAUAGUAGACAAGUACCGUGAGGGAAAGUUGAAAAGUACUCUGAAGAGAGAGUAAAUAGUACGUGAAACCGAUCGCAGGGAAGCUGGAGGAGUCAAGCUUCAUGCUUGGAGAAUUCUCGUAUGGAGUUUGUUGUGUUAAUGGGCCGCAUGCCGGACAGCUUGCAAAGAGUUGGUCGCACUCGUGUGACACAAGUCUGCUCGGGCCGGUUGAUUGUUCCGGUGUGUUGGCUCAGCUCUGUGCGAUCUAUUCUCCGCUGCAUAGACCAUGGUCGAUGGCGUUGUGCUCACGUGCCGUCCGGCUGUCUAACUGUGCUUUGGCAGGUCUCUGGCCUGCCGAUCGCAGGAUGGCAGUUGGUGCCCGUGGUGCCAGUCGCCACUGGCGCUGAAUCCGGUCUCGACCGGCUGAUGGCCGGACGGUAUCGUCGCUGUCGUUGAUGUGCGACUGGCUGCUCGCGGGCGACCCGUUGCUCAGAACCGUGGUCCUGAGGUAGACCUUCCUCCCGACCCGUCUUG